This is a long non-coding RNA of Leptinotarsa decemlineata (Colorado potato beetle), 381 nucleotides long. The record is from RefSeq and is a predicted model, not a curated record. Lineage: Eukaryota; Metazoa; Arthropoda; Insecta; Coleoptera; Chrysomelidae.
UAUAACGUAUGUAUGAUAGUUUACUAAUGAACGGAUUGAACCUAUUACACACAUUACACACAAGCAAUAUAAAGUGACAUACGGGUGUUGAAUAUUCAAUUUAUGAUAUACUACUAGCAAUAACAUUGACAGUGUAUGAUAGUCAGAACAAAUAUAAUCGUUGGGUCACUUUUAAGUGAAUAAUGAAAAUAACCUUGUAAGUAACUAAUUAUAUGAAGUCAGUUCAUCAAUUACAUGAUGAAAUGCAGUAUAAAAAUGGUACACAAAUCUAUAGGCGUGUCGUGUAUUGAAAGAACAUCAGUUAAAAAAAUCGGAACAUCCCUUUAUAGAAGAAAUAUAUAUUAUAUAGACGUAUUUAAAAAUAAAUGUCUUCAUCAUUAA